GAUGAACGCUGGCGGCGUGCCUAAUACAUGCAAGUCGAGCGAACAGACGAGGAGCUUGCUCCUCUGACGUUAGCGGCGGACGGGUGAGUAACACGUGGAGAACCUACCUAUAAGACUGGGAUAACUUCGUGAAACCGGAGCUAAUACCGGAUAAUAUAUUGAACCGCAUGGUUCAAUAGUGAAAGACGGUUUUGCUGUCACUUAUAGAUGGAUCCGCGCCGCAUUAGCUAGUUGGUAAGGUAACGGCUUACCAUGGCAACGAUGCGUAGCCGACCGGUCAGGGUGAUGGGCCACACUGGAACCGAGACACGGUCCAGCCUCCUACGGGAGGCAGAAGUAGGGACUCUUCCGCAAUGGGCGAAAGCCUGCCGGAGCAACGCCGCGUGAGUGCUGAAGGUCUUCGGAUCGUAAAACUCUGUUAUUAGGGAAGAACAAAUGUGUAAGUAACUAUGCACGUCUUGACGGUACCUACUCAGAAAGCCACGGCUAACUACGUG
This 497-nucleotide ribosomal RNA is filed under the name uncultured bacterium. RNAcentral's name for it is "partial 16S ribosomal RNA". It matches the Rfam family "Bacterial small subunit ribosomal RNA", at positions 28 to 507 of the family's 1533-position model. The record is from RNAcentral.